Molecule: non-coding RNA, 726 nt
Organism: Drosophila melanogaster (fruit fly)
Lineage: Eukaryota; Metazoa; Arthropoda; Insecta; Diptera; Drosophilidae
Source: Ensembl
ACCGGAUCAAACAGACUGGAACGAACCGACAUCAGAUAGGAAGUUGGCUAUAGCUUGGCCUCCACAACAGGUGCCUCCUUUUCCACCUGCAGAUGACUCGAAAGCUGGCUAUCCUCCUGGCAGAACCGCACAUUACCCAUCACGGGCAGCAUCUGCUGCACUUUGAGGCUCAUGUUCUGCAGGAUUAGCAGGACAUCGUGGCUGGCCAUCUCCUUGGCCACCGAUAUCAGCAUCUCACUGAAGGUGGCAUCGAACUGCAUAAAGCGUGCGCAAUCGAGAACCACUGGGAAAUCAUUGUGAUACAAUCUGCAUGCUCCUCGCAACUCAGAUCGUAGUGCAUCGACGCCUGUGUAAUAGACAUCCGAUUGGGGAACGAUGUGCACAUAGUACGUGGAUUCAUGCUAGGGAGCAAUGUCAAAUAUUAAACUAAAGUUAUCUAGUUAACUUUCAAACUUACCUGUUUAAGGGUGACCUCAAAUUUGGGGUUACCCAAGCGCAGCAAUAUAAACACCAUGCUGAGAACAAUGCCAAAGAGAAGACCCAACUCGACGCCAGCCACCAAACAGAUGAUAAAACUUCCCACCCAGCUAAAGAAGUCCUUUUUGUUGGUCUGCCAUAGCUCCUUAACUGGAGCAAGAUCAAUCUGUUUGAAAGGAAAAGUAUAUGAUUAACUACAUUUAGUUGAUAAGAAAGUAUAAACGCACCAUAAAGAUGACUGCUGCUAUU